This 22-nucleotide microRNA is filed under the name Homo sapiens (human). Its description in RNAcentral is "hsa-miR-1468-3p". The record is from miRBase by way of RNAcentral. Lineage: Eukaryota; Metazoa; Chordata; Mammalia; Primates; Hominidae. RNAcentral also lists the same sequence under 1 other name.
AGCAAAAUAAGCAAAUGGAAAA